Molecule: ribosomal RNA, 492 nt
Filed under: uncultured bacterium
Lineage: Bacteria
Description: partial 16S ribosomal RNA
Rfam family: Bacterial small subunit ribosomal RNA
Source: RNAcentral
AGUGAACGCUGGCGGUAGGCCUAACACAUGCAAGUCGAACGGCAGCACAGUAAGAGCUUGCUCUUACGGGUGGCGAGUGGCGGACGGGUGAGGAAUACAUCGGAAUCUACUUUUUCGUGGGGGAUAACGCAGGGAAACUUACGCUAAUACCGCAUACGACCUACGGGUGAAAGCAGGGGAUCUUCGGACCUUGCGCGAUUGAAUGAGGCGAUGUCGGAUUAGCUAGUUGGCGGGGUAAAGGCCCACCAAGGCGACGAUCCGUAGCUGGUCUGAGAGGAUGAUCAGCCACACUGGAACUGAGACACGGUCCAGACUCCUACGGGAGGCAGCAGUGGGGAAUAUUGGACAAUGGGCGCAAGCCUGAUCCAGCCAUACCGCGUGGGUGAAGAAGGCCUUCGGGUUGUAAAGCCCUUUUGUUGGGAAAGAAAAGCAGCAGGUUAAUACCCCGCUGUUCUGACGGUACCCAAAGAAUAAGCACCGGCUAACUUCGUG